This 75-nucleotide transfer RNA is filed under the name Actinoplanes sp. NBRC 103695. RNAcentral describes it as "tRNA-Phe". Lineage: Bacteria; Bacillati; Actinomycetota; Actinomycetes; Micromonosporales; Micromonosporaceae. The record is from RNAcentral.
GCGGUGCUCGUCGGCGGGCGCGACGGUGCGCUGAAGGCGCGCCUGAUCUCCGAGUUCGGCAAGUCGGAGAUCGCG